GCAGUGAUGAUUCAGUGUUAAAAUUCUCACCUUCCAUGUGAAUGGCCCAGGUUCAAUUCCUGGCCCAUGUA
RNAcentral lists this transfer RNA (71 nucleotides) under Loxodonta africana (African savanna elephant). It matches the Rfam family "tRNA". Rfam says of the family: Transfer RNA (tRNA) molecules are approximately 80 nucleotides in length. Lineage: Eukaryota; Metazoa; Chordata; Mammalia; Proboscidea; Elephantidae. The record is from Rfam by way of RNAcentral.